UCUUAAUCUUGAUUCAGUGCAUAAGCUUUUCACUGGCCAAGAGAUAACUAUUGUCAACAGUUCCAGUUUGAUGUCUAGUGAGACAGAUAGAGAGAGAUAUGCCAAGAUAGUAAAUCACGGCAUUUCUGUAUGUCUGACUAUGGAAUAUUCUUCAGAAAUCACUGAGACCAUUUAUUUUAUAUUGGAAUUUCAUCUUGAUCUAAGAUCCAUCAACUUCAGUAGGAUUGCUUGGAAAUGGAUGAUAACUGAAAUUUGCUGUCAACUUAGAAACUUCAUCUGUGAUCACUAUUAUCACCUCCUCAUCGCCAAACCUCAAACCAAAGCUGUGCCCUCUGAAUCCAGUUGUGACGGAGUUUCACUCUUGUUGCCCAGGAUCUCGGCUCACCGCAACAUCCACCUCCCGGGUUCAAGCGAUUCUCCUGCCUCAGCCUCCC
This 434-nucleotide long non-coding RNA is filed under the name Pan troglodytes (chimpanzee). RNAcentral describes it as "long non-coding RNA NONPTRT005367". Lineage: Eukaryota; Metazoa; Chordata; Mammalia; Primates; Hominidae. The record is from RNAcentral.